AGAUUGAACGCUGGCGGCAUGCCUUACACAUGCAAGUCGAACGGUAGAGUAGCAAUACUUGAGAGUGGCGAACGGGUGAGUAAUAUAUCGGAACGUGCCCAGUCGUGGGGGAUAACGUAGAGAAAUUUACGCUAAUACCGCAUACGAUCUAAGGAUGAAAGCGGGGGACCGUAAGGCCUCGCGCGAUUGGAGCGGCUGAUAUCAGAUUAGGUUGUUGGUGAGGUAAAGCUCACCAAGCCGACGAUCUGUAGCUGGUUUGAGAGAACGACCAGCCACACUGGGACUGAGACACGGCCCAGACUCCUACGGGAGGCAGCAGUGGGAAUUUGGACAAUGGGCGAAAGCCUGAUCCAGCAAUGCCGCGUGCGAGGAAGAACGGCCUUCGGGUUGUAAGCUGCUUUUGUACGGUAACGAACGGUCUAGUACUUAA
RNAcentral lists this ribosomal RNA (430 nucleotides) under uncultured soil bacterium. RNAcentral's name for it is "bacterial SSU rRNA". It matches the Rfam family "Bacterial small subunit ribosomal RNA", at positions 26 to 464 of the family's 1533-position model. The record is from RNAcentral.